Vulpes vulpes (red fox) is the source of this 126-nucleotide small nuclear RNA. Its record names the gene U4. It matches the Rfam family "U4 spliceosomal RNA". From Rfam's summary of the family: U4 small nuclear RNA (U4 snRNA) is a component of the major U2-dependent spliceosome. NCBI's taxonomy places the organism in Eukaryota, Metazoa, Chordata, Mammalia, Carnivora, Canidae. The record is from Ensembl.
AGCUUUGCACAGUGGCAGUAUUGUAGCCAGUGAGGUUUAUCUGAGGCACGAUUAUUGGUAAUUAUAUAGACAUAUAUUAUUUAGACAGCCUGAGACAUGUAAGCAUUCAAUGAAUAGCUUGUGCUA